Rosa chinensis is the source of this 549-nucleotide long non-coding RNA. RefSeq lists it as uncharacterized. Lineage: Eukaryota; Viridiplantae; Streptophyta; Magnoliopsida; Rosales; Rosaceae. The transcript has 2 exons. The record is from RefSeq and is a predicted model, not a curated record.
AUGCAUAUGAGUUCAGAAAAGUAUUCCAGUACUGAAGGAGAUGUUGAGACCUUUCAGCUCUUGCUCAAGCGUGAAAAACUUUCCUGCAUCAGCCCAGGAACCUAUAAUCCGACUGCAUGAUUUUCUGAAUGGAGUUGGAGACAUUCGAGCACGGCACAAAAUUCUAUUGUAGAAUCACAAUCACCCUCAGUGCCCACAACAAUGUAGCUGCUAGCAGCGGUGAAGAGUUCUUGGACCAAUUGAAGAAGUUGAGAAGGGAAACUUGAUGUAUAAGCUUGAAGUGCUCUUGAACUCUUGCGUACUUCAUGGCUGGUAGGAGGCAAUUGCCACUCUACAAAGCAUGAAGGUGACGACCUUUCAGGUCAAUACACAAAUGACCCUUGGGGUACGAAAUGUUAACCGAACAUGUGAAAGAUCUGUUUGAAAAUAAGAAUUUCACUUAAUUGAUUACUAUUAGUUGUUAAUUCACUUGGAAAGAAAUAACUUGAUAUUUGUUAUACAACCUAAAUGCAGUUAUACUAUUGGCAACAACUUUCCGUUUUUAUUUAA